AGAACCUUCUUGAGCACACAGAGAACCCCCAGGACCCACAACAUUUUCUCCACUGUUGGUGCAAGAGAAAAACUUACACAAGUGCUCAAAGGUAGAGGUACCAUGAUGUUGCCUACAGCAUUAUUUGUAACAUCUAAGUGUCCCAUCAAUAAAGACAUCAAUAGCACAACAGACUACAGUGGAUAUGCUACGUGGUAGCUACACAGAAUGUGCCGGUAGAGCAUGGCUGCAACGUCUGUCCUAUUCACUCCUGCACCCGGUGUGGAGCCUGGCAAAUGACAGCCUGGAUUCAUGAAAAAGUAAAUGGAAUGAACACACCACUGUGCCAACUUUAGAAGAGACAAGAUUUUUAUAUACUGACAUGGAAAGAUGUCGAGGUAUAUUGCUGCAUGAAAAAACACCAAAUCAGUGAGCGGCACGUGGAAAGCUGAAUUUCCUGACCCCCCUGUGGGGCCACAGGUCUAGUAUGGCCAAGGAGUUGUGAGCAUACAUGACAUAUGUCACUUCCAGGCCACAGCAUUUACAUACCAGCAUGUACUUCAGAGCAAUCUUCCCUCUCCCGAGUUUUCUUGAAAGUAUUUCUUGCGAUCAAGCCUCCGGCCACUUGGAUUCUGGGAUGACUAUGAAGAGCAGAUCCCCUGGUCAAUAUCAUAUAGCAUGAGAAUGAGAAAUAAACUUCUGUUGUGGUCA
This is a long non-coding RNA of Canis lupus familiaris (dog), 690 nucleotides long. RefSeq lists it as uncharacterized. The transcript is spliced from 2 exons. The record is from RefSeq and is a predicted model, not a curated record. NCBI's taxonomy places the organism in Eukaryota, Metazoa, Chordata, Mammalia, Carnivora, Canidae.